Molecule: long non-coding RNA, 589 nt
Filed under: Homo sapiens (human)
Lineage: Eukaryota; Metazoa; Chordata; Mammalia; Primates; Hominidae
Description: non-protein coding lnc-SMCR8-3:1
Source: RNAcentral
GCAGAGAGAGAGGAACUUCCAGUGCCCGCUAUGGAGCCACAGCCCACAGCAUGGGGAAGUCCCCAUCCAGAGGCAGUGCUGCAGCUAGAGGUAGCUCCAGAGUCCUCCGGGCCCUGCACCGAUACAGCCAAAGACCAGCAAAGCGACAAGCUGCCAGACCUCAUGCCACCUGCUGUAGCCACUGGGCUCAGCCCUGGAGCUGAGAGCAUCGCUGGAGAUAGACGUGGCAGAGAAGAGGUUGCGAGCAUGGCCCCAGCCAGCAGCUCCCACGCUGCCCCUAGUCCUGGGCAUGGAGCGAGCCUUGGUGUCAGAGACCAGGGUGUGCAGUCUGAGCUCCUCUACCUUACUAAAGAGAGGCCUCUUUUAUUUACCAGAGCCACAGCCCUGCUGCCUCAGGACCUUUUCAUUCUGCCGGUGCUGGGGCUGUCUAUCUGCAAGCUGGAGGUGUUGAGAGCAGGAAAAGGAGGCUGUGAGGAAGGGUUCGGGCAGCUCCUCCUGCUCUCAGAGGUGGCCUCCUCCUCCAGGCAUGGAGGUCUGUCCACUACUGGGCUUCUGGGCUAUUUGCCCCUGAUUUGCUCCCUGGUACGGG